UACAGAGGGGGCAAGCGUUAUUCGGAAUUAUUGGGCGUAAAGGGCGCGUAGGCGGCUUGGCAAGUGGAAGGUGAAAUCCCUCGGCUUAACCGAGGAACUGCCCUCCAAACUGCUUCGCUUGAGACCGGGAGAGGUGAGUGGAAUUCCCAGUGUAGCGGUGAAAUGCGUAGAUAUUGGGAGGAACACCAAUGGCGAAGGCGGCUCACUGGACCGGUACUGACGCUGAUGCGCGAAAGCGUGGGGAGCAAACGGG
This 253-nucleotide ribosomal RNA is filed under the name uncultured bacterium. Its description in RNAcentral is "partial 16S ribosomal RNA". It matches the Rfam family "Bacterial small subunit ribosomal RNA", at positions 524 to 776 of the family's 1533-position model. The record is from RNAcentral.